CCUACGGGGGGCUGCAGUGAGGAAUAUUGGUCAAUGGGCGAGAGCCUGAACCAGCCAAGUCGCGUGAGGGAGUACUGCCCUAUGGGUUGUAAACCUCUUUUGUCGGGGAGCAAAAGCCGGACGUGUCCGGCUGUGAGAGUUACCGAAGAAAAAGCAUCGGCAAACGCCGUGCCAGCAGCCGCGGUAAUACGGAGGAUUCGAGCGUUUUCCGGAUUUAUUGGGUUUAAAGGGUGCGCAGGGGGAUUUUUAAGUCAGCGGUCAAAUCGUGGGGCUAAACCCCAUCCAGCCGUUGAAACUGGGGUCCUAGAGUGUGCGAGAGGUAGGCGGAAUGCGUGGUGUAGCGGUGAAAUGCAUAGAUAGCACGCAGAACCCCGAUUGCGAAGGCAGCAUACCGGUGCACAACUGACGCUCAGGCACGAAAGCGUGGGUAUCGAACAGGAUUAGAUACCCGGGUAGUC
This 458-nucleotide ribosomal RNA is filed under the name uncultured bacterium. RNAcentral describes it as "partial 16S ribosomal RNA". It matches the Rfam family "Bacterial small subunit ribosomal RNA", at positions 338 to 795 of the family's 1533-position model. The record is from RNAcentral.